GAAGUGCGAUAAGCAAUGCGAAUUGCAGAACCGUGAGUCAUCAGAUUUUUGAACGCAACUGGCGCUGGUUGGCUAUCCAACCAGCAUGCUUGUUUCAGUGUCUUUUUAUCCCCUCACCCAAAUCUUAAUGCGAGAGAUACCCUUCUCUUGUUAAGCAUGAAAGCACUCUGCGCUCUGCGAGCGACUUCGACUUGUUCGAGGGUCGCACUCAAUGCAGCAGUCACAUUGUUUACAGUGUGAACUCAUUGAGAGUAGAGGUAGUGCGGCCUUACAGCUGCCAGUGCUUAGACACUCAAACUUUUCUUGUAUCUGAAAUCAAGCAGGAUCACCCGCUGAACUUAA
RNAcentral lists this unclassified non-coding RNA (342 nucleotides) under uncultured fungus. Its description in RNAcentral is "sequence contains ITS1". The stretch from base 1 to 103 matches the Rfam family "5.8S ribosomal RNA", at positions 50 to 154 of the family's 154-position model. Lineage: Eukaryota; Fungi. The record is from RNAcentral.